UCGUACGAGAGUUUUAAACUCAAGUGGCGGACGGGUGAGUAACACGUAAGAAUUUACCUUUAGGAGGGGGACAACAGCUGGAAACGGUUGCUAAUACCCCAUAUGCUUUCGAGUGAAAUGGAUUUUUCCGCCUAGAGAGAAGCUUGCGGCUGAUUAGCUUGUUGGUAAGGUAAUGGCUUACCAAGGCGACGAUCAGUAUCUGGUUUGAGAGGACGAUCAGACACACUGGAACUGAGACACGGUCCAGACUCCUACGGGAGGCAGCAGUGGGGAAUUUUCCGCAUUGGGCGCAAGCCUGACGGAGCAAUCUCGCGUGAGGGAUGACUGCCUAUGGGUUGUAAACCUCUUUUUUCAGGGAGGAGUUAAUGACGUGUACCUGAAGAAUAAGCAUCGGCUAACUCCGUGCCAGCAGCCGCGGUAAGACGGAGGAUGCAAGUGUUAUCCGGAAUCACUGGGCGUAAAGCGUCUGUAGGUGGUUUAAUAAGUCAACUGUUAAAUCUUGAAGCUCAACUUCAAAAUCGCAGUCGAAACUAUUAGACUAGAGUAUAGUAGGGGUAAAGGGAAUUUCCAGUGGAGCGGUGAAAUGCGUAGAGAUUGGAAAGAACACCGAUGGCGAAGGCACUUUACUGGGCUAUUACUGACACUCAGAGACGAAAGCUAGGGUAGCAAAUGGGAUAGAUACCCCAGUAGUCCUAGCCGUAAACAAUGGAUACUAGAUGUUGAACAGAUCGACCUGGCAGUAUCAAAGCUAACGCGUUA
Molecule: ribosomal RNA, 759 nt
Filed under: uncultured phototrophic eukaryote
Lineage: Eukaryota
Description: bacterial SSU rRNA
Rfam family: Bacterial small subunit ribosomal RNA
Source: RNAcentral